This 329-nucleotide unclassified non-coding RNA is filed under the name uncultured fungus. RNAcentral describes it as "partial internal transcribed spacer 1". The record is from RNAcentral. Lineage: Eukaryota; Fungi.
GUUUCAAUAUGUGAAUUAUAGCCAUGAUAUCCCUGGUGGGCUGCGCGUUUCGUUGUCCCUUGAUUUAACCUAUUUCCUUGUCUCGUCCUGGAAAGCGCUGGCCUUUUACUUACUGGCAACGGCGCUCCUGCUUAAUAUGGUACGGAUGCACUUUCGGCUUUAUCGCAACGUCACACGCGAAAAUAUUAGCGAUGCCAUGACCGGGCUUUACAACCGUAAAAUAUUAACACCGGUGCUGGAACAGCGACUGCAACGCCUGGUCAAUACCGGGACGCCGGUGACAUUUGUCGCUAUUGAUUGCGAUAGGUUAAAACUGAUCAACGAUACCC